GACGAACGCUGGCGGCGUGCUUAACACAUGCAAGUCGAACGGAAAGGCCCUGCUUUUGUGGGGUGCUUGAGUGGCGAACGGGUGAGUAACACGAGAGUAACCUGCCCUUGACUUUGGGAUAACUUCAGGAAACUGGGGCUAAUACCGGAUAGGAGCUCCUGCUGCAUGGUGGGGGUUGGAAAGUUUCGGCGGUUGGGGAUGGACUCGCGGCUUAUCAGCUUGUUGGUGGGGUAGUGGCUUACCAAGGCUUUGACGGGUAGCCGGCCUGAGAGGGUGACCGGCCACAUUGGGACUGAGAUACGGCCCAGACUCCUACGGGAGGCAGCAGUGGGGAAUAUUGCACAAUGGGCGGAAGCCUGAUGCAGCAACGCCGCGUGCGGGAUGACGGCCUUCGGGUUGUAAACCGCUUUCGCCUGUGACGAAGCGUGAGUGACGGUAAUGGGUAAAGAAGCACCGGCUAACUACGUG
Molecule: ribosomal RNA, 468 nt
Filed under: uncultured bacterium
Lineage: Bacteria
Description: partial 16S ribosomal RNA
Rfam family: Bacterial small subunit ribosomal RNA
Source: RNAcentral